This 465-nucleotide ribosomal RNA is filed under the name Vreelandella stevensii. RNAcentral's name for it is "partial 16S ribosomal RNA". It matches the Rfam family "Bacterial small subunit ribosomal RNA", at positions 338 to 795 of the family's 1533-position model. Lineage: Bacteria; Pseudomonadati; Pseudomonadota; Gammaproteobacteria; Oceanospirillales; Halomonadaceae. The record is from RNAcentral.
CCUACGGGUGGCUGCAGUGGGGAAUAUGGGACAAUGGGGGCAACCCUGAUCCAGCCAUGCCGCGUGUGUGAAGAAGGCCCUCGGGUUGUAAAGCACUUUCAGUGAGGAAGAACGCCUGGUGGUUAAUACCCAUCAGGAAAGACAUCACUCACAGAAGAAGCACCGGCUAACUCCGUGCCAGCAGCCGCGGUAAUACGGAGGGUGCGAGCGUUAAUCGGAAUUACUGGGCGUAAAGCGCGCGUAGGUGGCUUGAUAAGCCGGUUGUGAAAGCCCCGGGCUCAACCUGGGAACGGCAUCCGGAACUGUCAAGCUAGAGUGCCGGAGAGGAAGGUAGAAUUCCCGGUGUAGCGGUGAAAUGCGUAGAGAUCGGGAGGAAUACCAGUGGCGAAGGCGGCCUUCUGGACUGACACUGACCCUGAGGUGCGAAAGCGUGGGUAGCAAACAGGAUUAGAUAACCCGGUAGUC